UAUUUUUAAGCGCCUGGGCCAUAAUUUUCAAUGGUUGACGAGGUCUAGAGUUAUCGAAAUAUUCGGCGGAUGCUCUAGUGGCUUUUACUUAAGGUCAUUAUUAUUAAUCAAAAAAAUAAUAGUAAUAUUAUAACAGAAAUUA
RNAcentral lists this non-coding RNA (142 nucleotides) under human gut metagenome. RNAcentral's name for it is "glmS glucosamine-6-phosphate activated ribozyme". It matches the Rfam family "glmS glucosamine-6-phosphate activated ribozyme aptamer". From Rfam's summary of the family: This entry contains a glucosamine-6-phosphate activated ribozyme that is found in the mRNA for GlmS. GlmS is an enzyme that uses fructose-6-phosphate and glutamine to generate glucosamine-6-phosphate. The record is from RNAcentral.